UGUCCUGGGGGAUGUUCUCUGAGCUUUGCUCAGAUAAAGGCCUGGGGCAGCAUGAGCAUUUAGGAUGUUCAGCAGCUGUGGCUGGCCAAGUCAUAGAUGAUUUGAAAAUGCAGCCGUCUGAGAGGUGGUAUGAACUGAUUUCACUGGAACUGUCCAGAUUUGCAUCAGUUUAAAGAUCUAAUCCUUAGCUAUAUGACUCUGAGGGUGCUCCACUCUGGUUGUUGAAGAGACAGGCCAUUUCAGGACACCUCUGCAUCCUUC
Molecule: long non-coding RNA, 261 nt
Filed under: Anser brachyrhynchus (Pink-footed goose)
Lineage: Eukaryota; Metazoa; Chordata; Aves; Anseriformes; Anatidae
Description: lncRNA (ENSABRG00000019524.1)
Source: RNAcentral